CCCGCCUAGCUUCUCCUAGUUGCUAGAAGGCGAACUGCGAAUGCCACUCGGAGAAGAGCCAGGUGUCGCUGUGGUCCUCUACAAAUGCGCCGCCGCCGCACUCCUCGGCCUUAUAGGUUCCAGGAAAGCCCCGCCUAAGACGGAUCUUGGCCUCUCCUCAUCCCUUCCAGGUCCCUCUGAAGAUAUAUUUAUCAAGUGCCUGGCCAAGUGCCCAGCAUUGGGAGGUGUUCGGUGUAUUGUUUGGGAAGCCAUAUUUUCUGGCAUUGGAAUCAAGGCACCUGGGUGCCCAUGGGACCAUCAACCUUGCUGGGGAUAA
RNAcentral lists this long non-coding RNA (316 nucleotides) under Sus scrofa (pig). RNAcentral describes it as "lncRNA (ENSSSCG00005039510.1)". Lineage: Eukaryota; Metazoa; Chordata; Mammalia; Artiodactyla; Suidae. The record is from RNAcentral.